Molecule: long non-coding RNA, 109 nt
Filed under: Capra hircus (goat)
Lineage: Eukaryota; Metazoa; Chordata; Mammalia; Artiodactyla; Bovidae
Description: lncRNA (ENSCHIG00010015165.1)
Source: RNAcentral
AGUGAAUUUGGGGCUUGCUGUUUUCCCCAUUUUGGACGUUUGCUGAUAUGUGCCAUUUUAUUUGAAGAUGGAAGUAAGUGAACAUGGCGUUGAACAUUGCUCAUUGUAC